UACGUAGGGUGCAAGCGUUAAUCGGAAUUACUGGGCGUAAAGCGUGCGCAGGCGGUUGUGCAAGACAGGUGUGAAAUCCCCGGGCUUAACCUGGGAACUGCACUUGUGACUGCACGGCUGGAGUGUGGCAGAGGGGGAUGGAAUUCCGCGUGUAGCAGUGAAAUGCGUAGAUAUGCGGAGGAACACCGAUGGCGAAGGCAAUCCCCUGGGCCUGCACUGACGCUCAUGCACGAAAGCGUGGGGAGCAAACAGG
Molecule: ribosomal RNA, 253 nt
Filed under: uncultured bacterium
Lineage: Bacteria
Description: partial 16S ribosomal RNA
Rfam family: Bacterial small subunit ribosomal RNA
Source: RNAcentral